UGGUGGAGUGAUUUGUCUGGUUAAUUCCGUUAACGAACGAGACCUCGACCUGCUAAAUAGUUGGCCGAAUCCUCUGGAUUGGGUCAUACUUCUUAGAGGGACUAUCGGUUCGCAGCCGGUGGAAGUUCGAGGCAAUAACA
This 140-nucleotide ribosomal RNA is filed under the name uncultured eukaryote. Its description in RNAcentral is "partial 18S ribosomal RNA". It matches the Rfam family "Eukaryotic small subunit ribosomal RNA", at positions 1299 to 1458 of the family's 1831-position model. The record is from RNAcentral.